This 300-nucleotide unclassified non-coding RNA is filed under the name uncultured Chaetomium. RNAcentral describes it as "sequence contains ITS1". The stretch from base 1 to 105 matches the Rfam family "5.8S ribosomal RNA", at positions 50 to 154 of the family's 154-position model. RNAcentral also lists the same sequence under 1 other name. The record is from RNAcentral. Lineage: Eukaryota; Fungi; Ascomycota; Sordariomycetes; Sordariales; Chaetomiaceae.
GAAAUGCGAUAAGUAAUGUGAAUUGCAGAAUUCAGUGAAUCAUCGAAUCUUUGAACGCACAUUGCGCCCGCCAGCAUUCUGGCGGGCAUGCCUGUUCGAGCGUCAUUUCAACCAUCAAGCCCCCGGGCCUGUGUUGGGGACCUGCGGCUGACCGCAGGCCCCGAAAACCAGUGGCGGGCUCGCCGACACCCCGAGCGUAGUAGCAUACUUCUCGCUCAUGGGCGUGCCGCGGGCACCCGGCCGUUAAACACUCCACACAAGGUUGACCUCGGAUCAGGUAGGAAGACCCGCUGAACUUAA